Molecule: ribosomal RNA, 510 nt
Filed under: uncultured eukaryote
Lineage: Eukaryota
Description: bacterial SSU rRNA
Rfam family: Eukaryotic small subunit ribosomal RNA
Source: RNAcentral
CUAACGAGGAACGAUCGAGGGGCAAGUCUGGUGCCAGCAGCCGCGGUAAUUCCAGCUCCAAUAGCGUACGUUAAAGUUGCUGCAGUUAAAAAGCUCGUAGUUGAACGUUCGGGUUCCGCGGACGGGGCCGCCCCGCGAGGGACGGCGCCGCCCCGGGGCUCGUGAUAUCUUAUCUCGCCGCCCGUCGCGAGGCGGACGGAGGGAUGGAUGAGGUUACCUGGAAAAAAUCGGGGCGAUCUAGGCGGGCGAACCUCGCCAACGAACGAUCGGACAUGGGAUAACGGAAGAGGGCGUCGGCUCGACUUCGUCGGUUCCUCGGGCCGAGGCACGUACGGUGAAUAGGGACGGUCGGGGCCGCCCGUACCGGGUCGUGAGAGGUGAAAUUCUAGGAUCGACCCGAGACGAACUGCCGCGAAAGCAUUCGGCAAGGACGCUUUCAUUAAUCAAGAACGAAAGUCGGGGGGAUCGAAGACGAUCAGAUACCGUCGUAGUCCCGACCGUAAACGAUGC